Molecule: long non-coding RNA, 565 nt
Organism: Xenia sp. Carnegie-2017
Lineage: Eukaryota; Metazoa; Cnidaria; Anthozoa; Malacalcyonacea; Xeniidae
Exons: 2
Source: RefSeq, a predicted model, not a curated record
ACGGAAUUAUUAUUUUUAUUAGGAUGAGAAGAAAUAAUCCGUCUUUCAAGGACAGCAAUUCUGUCUUCUAGUGAAACAAGGCUUUCCGUGUCGGCCAUUUUAAAGCUUUCUUUCUUUUACGACAAAAAAGUAGUCCGCUGAUCAGUGUUGUUAAGGGCUCUUUUUUAGAAUUUAGCUUCGGCACAGGCUUCGGCCAACAGAGUUUUUCGAUGUUUCUGACAAUGUAAUCAUGUUAGUCCUUUUUUGUCAUAUUGUUGUUUGUCAAACAAGUCAUAAAAUGUGGUGAAUAAGGUUUUGGAGCAAUGAAAAUCAUGGAAUAGAAUAAAUAAAAAGACGUUUUUCUUAACGACGUAAUAUUUGGUAAGUUGUUGGAUUACUAUUACUAUAGCCCGAUACUGAACGAACUUAUUUAAACUAGCUGAGUUAAAACCAAAGCAAAUUACAACAAACACUUCGAGUAAACAGUAUUUUAUUUUUAUUAUUUCCCUGCUCAUUUGUGUACAGGGUUUGAAUUUGUGUUAAAGUACUUGAUUUUUUUAAAUUUAAUAUACAACGAUUACAGCAA